This 663-nucleotide long non-coding RNA is filed under the name Brachypodium distachyon (stiff brome). RNAcentral describes it as "long non-coding RNA (BDIS_LNC005237)". The record is from RNAcentral. Lineage: Eukaryota; Viridiplantae; Streptophyta; Magnoliopsida; Poales; Poaceae.
CGGGGCCGGCGCGCGUCGCGGUCGGGCGCGAGUCGGACUGGGCCGGUUCGGCCCAAAGUGGCUGGGCCGGUCCGGUUUACCCCCUUUUUUUUCUUUUUGCCUUUUCUUUUUCUCUUUCUCUCAUUUCUUUGAUAUCUUUUGAAUUUGAACUCCAAAUUGGUCCAAAUAAAUCCCAGAAAAUUUGUAAAAUCAUGUUCUACCAAGAUACAACUUUUGGGAGUAGUUUCCCCUCAAAAUAAAAUAUAUAAAAAUAAAUUUGCCCUAUAAAUGCCUUUAGGGCUAUAUAUCUAUUUGAAUAAAAUACUUUUUCAACUCCAAAUAAUUAACCAUAAAUUAUGGGAUAGCUUAUAUAUGCAUUAAACCCCUUUUAUACAUAAACCCAAUUGAUUUGAAAAUCGAAAGCUUAAAUGGGUGUAAACAAAGUCUUUUAGAGCCCUCUUGAGAUUCAAAAUUUGAAUUCAAAUAUGCAAUUGUGGCAUGAUGCUCAUGGAUGCAAUGCACAUGUAAAAGUUUGAAAUUUUGGGAUGUUACAGAUGUGCGGAAGAAACCCAAGAUCAUAUCUAGUAGAUGUAAGUAACGAGAGGGAUAAUGAGCAUCAUACCCUCUUAGACCACAAAGCGUUACGAUCACGGGAUCGUUGUUGGCGUAGUGGUACUUUCGAUG